GGAAGUCUGGUGUAACAUCAGAGACCAGAAGGCUGUGAGGAUGUGAGAAUGGACAUGAAGCACCUGGAACAUUCUGGAACACUCCUUACAAAUCCUGCACCAACACCACUAAUGAAGAGAAGUUGAAUAGAGAUAAAACAGGAGGUGCCAGCAUUAUGGGAUGGCGGUGUAAGCUCUGCACAUUUGUCGUAUCAUCAAAAGGAAUUUCGAUCAUUACCGAGUGAAGCAUGGUACUGUUGGUCAUGGAUAUUUAGUGUCCUGUCUUCAUUUAGACUGUCAUUGCUUAUUUAAGACCUGAGAAGGUCUGCACACACAUUUGUAUGGAUCCCACAGUUUGCAGGAAACUGAAGUGUGAAGGUGUGCAAUCUUUCAGAUGUAAAAUGUGACUCAUUAGAUUCUAAUACAAAAGUCUACUUUCCAUGUGUUAACUGUAUAAUACUUGUGGCAGGAGUAUUGUUUCUGAAACUGUUUACUAAUAACAUAAAUUCAGCUCUUUGUUUAUGAUCUUGUUACAUGUCAUUUGCAAAGUAAACCAGGUUGAGUUUAGACUUCAUGUCUUGUCAAA
Clarias gariepinus (North African catfish) is the source of this 565-nucleotide long non-coding RNA. RefSeq lists it as uncharacterized. NCBI's taxonomy places the organism in Eukaryota, Metazoa, Chordata, Actinopteri, Siluriformes, Clariidae. The transcript has 3 exons. The record is from RefSeq and is a predicted model, not a curated record.